This 253-nucleotide ribosomal RNA is filed under the name uncultured bacterium. RNAcentral's name for it is "partial 16S ribosomal RNA". It matches the Rfam family "Bacterial small subunit ribosomal RNA", at positions 524 to 776 of the family's 1533-position model. The record is from RNAcentral.
UACGAAGGGGGCUAGCGUUGCUCGGAAUCACUGGGCGUAAAGCGCACGUAGGCGGAUUGCUAAGUCAGGGGUGAAAUCCUGGAGCUCAACUCCAGAACUGCCUUUGAUACUGGCGAUCUUGAGUUCGGGAGAGGUGAGUGGAACUCCGAGUGUAGAGGUGAAAUUCGUAGAUAUUCGGAAGAACACCAGUGGCGAAGGCGACUCACUGGCCCGAUACUGACGCUGAGGCGCGAAAGCGUGGGGAGCAAACAGG